GAUGAACGCUGGCGGCGUGCCUAAUACAUGCAAGUCGAGCGAACGGACGAGAAGCUUGCUUCUCUGAUGUUAGCGGCGGACGGGUGAGUAACACGUGGAUAACCUACCUAUAAGACUGGGAUAACUUCGGGAAACCGGAGCUAAUACCGGAUGAUAUUUUGAACCGCAUGGUUCAAAAGUGAAAGACGGUCUUGCUGUCACUUAUAGAUGGAUCCGCGCUGCAUUAGCUAGUUGGUAAGGUAACGGCUUACCAAGGCAACGAUGCAUAGCCGACAUGAGAGGGUGACCGGCCACACUGGAACGGAGACACGGUCCAGACUCCUACGGGAGGCAGCAGUAGGGAAUCUUCCGCAAUGGGCGAAAGCCUGACGGAGCAACGCCGCGUGAGUGAUGAAGGUCUUCGGAUCGUAAAACUCUGUUAUUAGGGAAGAACAUAUGUGUAAGUAACUGUGCACAUCUUGACGGUACCUAAUCAGAAAGCCACUGCUAACUACGUG
This 497-nucleotide ribosomal RNA is filed under the name uncultured bacterium. RNAcentral's name for it is "partial 16S ribosomal RNA". It matches the Rfam family "Bacterial small subunit ribosomal RNA", at positions 28 to 507 of the family's 1533-position model. The record is from RNAcentral.